AUUGAACGCUGGCGGCAUGCCUUACACAUGCAAGUCGAACGGCAGCACGGGAGCUUGCUCCUGGUGGCAAGUGGCGAACGGGUGAGUAAUACAUCGGAACGUACCCUGAAGUGGGGGAUAACGUAGCGAAAGUUACGCUAAUACCGCAUAUUCUGUGAGCAGGAAAGAGGGGGAUCGCAAGACCUCUUGCUUUAGGAGCGGCCGAUGUCGGAUUAGCUAGUUGGUGAGGUAAAGGCUCACCAAGGCGACGAUCCGUAGCGGGUCUGAGAGGAUGAUCCGCCACACUGGGACUGAGACACGGCCCAGACUCCUACGGGAGGCAGCAGUGGGGAAUUUUGGACAAUGGGCGCAAGCCUGAUCCAGCCAUGCCGCGUGAGUGAAGAAGGCCUGGUUGUAAAG
This 399-nucleotide ribosomal RNA is filed under the name uncultured bacterium. RNAcentral's name for it is "bacterial SSU rRNA". It matches the Rfam family "Bacterial small subunit ribosomal RNA", at positions 30 to 430 of the family's 1533-position model. The record is from RNAcentral.